This 386-nucleotide ribosomal RNA is filed under the name uncultured Flavobacterium sp. RNAcentral's name for it is "bacterial SSU rRNA". It matches the Rfam family "Bacterial small subunit ribosomal RNA", at positions 410 to 793 of the family's 1533-position model. The record is from RNAcentral. Lineage: Bacteria; Pseudomonadati; Bacteroidota; Flavobacteriia; Flavobacteriales; Flavobacteriaceae.
GACGGCCCUAUGGGUUGUAAACUGCUUUUAUACGGGAAGAAACACUCCUUCGUGAAGGAGCUUGACGGUACCGUAAGAAUAAGGAUCGGCUAACUCCGUGCCAGCAGCCGCGGUAAUACGGAGGAUCCAAGCGUUAUCCGGAAUCAUUGGGUUUAAAGGGUCCGUAGGCGGGACAAUAAGUCAGCGGUGAAAGUCUGUGGCUCAACCAUAGAAUUGCCAUUGAUACUGUUGUUCUUGAGUGUUUAUGAAGUGGUUGGAAUAUGUAGUGUAGCGGUGAAAUGCAUAGAUAUUACAUAGAACACCGAUUGCGAAGGCAGAUCACUAAUAAAAUACUGACGCUGAUGGACGAAAGCGUAGGUAGCGAACAGGAUUAGAUACCCUGGUAG